This 1401-nucleotide ribosomal RNA is filed under the name uncultured bacterium. RNAcentral's name for it is "bacterial SSU rRNA". It matches the Rfam family "Bacterial small subunit ribosomal RNA". The record is from RNAcentral.
AGAGUUUGAUCCUGGCUCAGAUUGAACGCUGGCGGCAGGCCUAACACAUGCAAGUCGAACGGUAACAGGAAACAGCUUGCUGUUUCGCUGACGAGUGGCGGACGGGUGAGUAAUGUCUGGGAAACUGCCUGAUGGAGGGGGAUAACUACUGGAAACGGUAGCUAAUACCGCAUAAUGUCGCAAGACCAAAGAGGGGGACCUUCGGGCCUCUUGCCAUCGGAUGUGCCCAGAUGGGAUUAGCUAGUAGGUGGGGUAACGGCUCACCUAGGCGACGAUCCCUAGCUGGUCUGAGAGGAUGACCAGCCACACUGGAACUGAGACACGGUCCAGACUCCUACGGGAGGCAGCAGUGGGGAAUAUUGCACAAUGGGCGCAAGCCUGAUGCAGCCAUGCCGCGUGUAUGAAGAAGGCCUUCGGGUUGUAAAGUACUUUCAGCGGGGAGGAAGGGAGUAAAGUUAAUACCUUUACUCAUUGACGUUACCCGCAGAAGAAGCACCGGCUAACUCCGUGCCAGCAGCCGCGGUAAUACAGAGGGUGCAAGCGUUAAUCGGAUUUACUGGGCGUAAAGCGUGCGUAGGUGGCCAAUUUAGUCAAGAGUGAAAUCCCCGAGCUUAACUUGGGAACUGCAUCUGAUACUGGCAAGCUUGAGUCUCGUAGAGGGGGGUGGAAUUCCAGGUGUAGCGGUGAAAUGCGUAGAGAUCUGGAGGAAUACCGGUGGCGAAGGCGGCCCCCUGGACGAAGACUGACGCUCAGGUGCGAAAGCGUGGGGAGCAAACAGGAUUAGAUACCCUGGUAGUCCACGCCGUAAACGAUGUCGACUUGGAGGUUGUGCCCUUGAGGCGUGGCUUCCGGAGCUAACGCGUUAAGUCGACCGCCUGGGGAGUACGGCCGCAAGGUUAAAACUCAAAUGAAUUGACGGGGGCCCGCACAAGCGGUGGAGCAUGUGGUUUAAUUCGAUGCAACGCGAAGAACCUUACCUACUCUUGACAUCCAGAGAACUUAGCAGAGAUGCUUUGGUGCCUUCGGGAACUCUGAGACAGGUGCUGCAUGGCUGUCGUCAGCUCGUGUUGUGAAAUGUUGGGUUAAGUCCCGCAACGAGCGCAACCCUUAUCCUUUGUUGCCAGCGGUUAGGCCGGGAACUCAAAGGAGACUGCCAGUGAUAAACUGGAGGAAGGUGGGGAUGACGUCAAGUCAUCAUGGCCCUUACGAGUAGGGCUACACACGUGCUACAAUGGCAUAUACAAAGAGAAGCGACCUCGCGAGAGCAAGCGGACCUCAUAAAGUAUGUCGUAGUCCGGAUUGGAGUCUGCAACUCGACUCCAUGAAGUCGGAAUCGCUAGUAAUCGUGGAUCAGAAUGCCACGGUGAAUACGUUCCCGGGCCUUGCACACACCGCCCGUCA